This 964-nucleotide non-coding RNA is filed under the name Elephas antiquus. RNAcentral's name for it is "12S ribosomal RNA". It matches the Rfam family "Bacterial small subunit ribosomal RNA". Lineage: Eukaryota; Metazoa; Chordata; Mammalia; Proboscidea; Elephantidae. The record is from RNAcentral.
ACAAAGGUUUGGUCCCGGCCUUCUUAUUGGUUACUAGGAAACUUAUACAUGCAAGUAUCCGCCCGCCAGUGAAUACGCCUUCUAAAUCAUCGCUGAUCAAAGAGAGCUGGCAUCAAGCACACACUCCAAGUGUAGCUCAUGACGUCUCGCCUAGCCACACCCCCACGGGAAACAGCAGUAGUAAAUAUUUAGCAAUUAACAAAAGUUAGACUAAGUUAUCCUAAUAAAGGACUGGUCAAUUUCGUGCCAGCAACCGCGGCCAUACGAUUAGUCCAAAUUAAUAAGCAUACGGCGUAAAGUGUAUUAGAAGAAUUAAAAAAAAAUAAAGUUAAAUCUUAUACUAGCUGUUUAAAGCUCAAGAUAAGACAUAAAUAGCCUACGAAAGUGACUUUAAUAAUCCUAAACAUACGAUAGCUAGGGUACAAACUGAGAUUAGAUACCUCACUAUGCCUAGCCCUAAACUUUGAUAGCUACCUUUACAAAGCUAUCCGCCAGAGAACUACUAGCCAGAGCUUAAAACUUAAAGGACUUGGCGGUGCUUUAUAUCCACCUAGGGGAGCCUGUCUCGUAACCGAUGAACCCCGAUACACCUUACCGUCACUUGCUAAUUCAGUCCAUAUACCACCAUCUUCAGCAAACCCCUAUAGGGCACAAAAGUGAGCUUAAUCAUAACCCAUGAAAAAGUUAGGCCGAGGUGUCGCCUACGUGACGGUCAAAGAUGGGCUACAUUUUCUAUUAUAGAACAGACAAACGGAUAUCACUCUGAAAUGGGUGAUUGAAGGCGGAUUUAGUAGUAAACUAAGAAUAGAGAGCUUAAUUGAACAAGGCCAUGAAGCGCGUACACACCGCCCGUCACUCUCCUCAAGUACUUCCACAUCAAACAAUCAUAUUACAGAUUUAAACAAAUACAAGAGGAGACAAGUCGUAACAAGGUAAGCGUACUGGAAAGUGUGCUUGGGAAACU